UACGAAGGGGGCUAGCGUUACUCGGAUUGACUGGGCGUAAAGGGCGCGUAGGCGGAUGGUACAGUCAGACGUGAAAUUCCUGGGCUCAACCUGGGGGCUGCGUUUGAUACGUGCUGUCUGGAGUUCGGAAGAGGGUCGUGGAAUUCCUAGUGUAGAGGUGAAAUUCGUAGAUAUUGGGAAGAACACCGGUGGCGAAGGCGGCGACCUGGUCCGAUACUGACGCUGAGGCGCGAAAGCGUGGGGAGCAAACAGG
Molecule: ribosomal RNA, 253 nt
Filed under: uncultured bacterium
Lineage: Bacteria
Description: partial 16S ribosomal RNA
Rfam family: Bacterial small subunit ribosomal RNA
Source: RNAcentral